RNAcentral lists this ribosomal RNA (378 nucleotides) under uncultured bacterium. RNAcentral describes it as "bacterial SSU rRNA". It matches the Rfam family "Bacterial small subunit ribosomal RNA", at positions 521 to 896 of the family's 1533-position model. The record is from RNAcentral.
UAAGACAGAGGCCUCAAGCGUUAGGCGGAAUCACUGGGCUUAAAGCGUGUGUAGGCGGGUCGUUAAGUACCUUGUGAAAUCCCACGGCUCACCCGUGGAACGGCUGGGUAUACUGGCGAUCUUGGGCCAACUAGGGGCGACUGGAACAAGCGGUGGAGCGGUGAAAUGCGUAGAUAUCGCUUGGAACGCCGAAGGUGAAAACAGGUCGCUGGGGUUGUGCCGACGCUGAGACACGAAAGCCAGGGGAGCAAACGGGAUUAGAUACCCCGGUAGUCCUGGCCCUAAACGAUGUCCACUAGAUUGCGGUGCCUUUGACGGGCGUCGCGGUCGAAGCAAAAGUGUUAAGUGGACCGCCUGGGAAGUACGGUCGCAAGGCUA